AUACAAAAGAGAAAUUAAUUUACAAGAGUAGUAUUAAUAGAGAAGUAGAUGAUCUUUUGUGUUCUAGCUAGCUACAUAAUCAUAUUUGCCAUAAUGGGAUUCUAAAAAUGUGUAUUAUCUUAAUCAGCUUGGCGUCUGAGCUCCAAAUUCACAGGUUGUUCCCUUGCCCUUGGAAAGAAUUAGCAGUUAACCAUGCUCUUCACAUAUUCAUCAAGUUAAAAUGAUAUUCUUUCUAAUCAACCAGGAGAUAUUGACAAUCAUUCAAAACCCAUGUAGAGCCAAACGGCUUGAAAAAUCUCAACUUCAUUAAUAAAUUCUUUAAAAAAAAAAAAACAAUGAUGGCAGUAGUUAUCAAUAAGCAAAUAACCACAAUUCUUUAGUUAUCACUAAGCAAAUAACCACAAUUCUUAUACCCAGUAAUUGUCCCAAAUUGGUGUUUUGCAGUGAAAUUGUCGCUAAGCAAAAAACAAUGAAUGCGGAAACACAAAGGCUGAAACUAACAGGUGAGGAAAUCAGGCUUGCAAAGAUUCGAUUACAAAUCAGGAUUAUUCCAAACUUACCUGGUUACUCAAAAAUAUAUGAGAUAAAAGUAAAUUAGCAGGAAAUUUCAAUUCAAAUUUAAACAUGUAAACUAUAUAGCAUCUGAAAACUUUGAUUUUCAAGACUAAGAACAGAUGAAGCAACAGAUCUAUAAAUUGUAAAUCAACUCGUACCAUAUCAAUGUUGAAUUCUUACACUGUAAUCUACCCAAUAGAGCAUGCUACGCUACCCAAAUCACUGCAAACCCAAAUCGCUGCAAACCCAAAAACCCUUUUGAGUAGAAGGAAAAGAAAAGGAAUAAGGAUAGUACUCAACUAAGUACUGACCAAACUCCAAAGAUAAGGAUAUUACUGUGUUGGACAGAAUAGAGAAGAAAACAAACAAGAAGAGAGAGGAGAAAAUUACCUAUAAAAUGAUUAGCUCAUAUCAGGUAUCUAGAGGCAUUAUCGAUGACCAAGGAAGUCUCCGGAUUGGAGCGUCAGCCACGGGGAGUCGUCUCUGGAGGUUGUGAUAUCGUAGACAACAUAGAGGUAUCAUCGGGUGAAGUCUGGAUAAUUCCCAACCGACCGAAGAAGAU
This 1117-nucleotide unclassified non-coding RNA is filed under the name Hevea brasiliensis (rubber tree). Lineage: Eukaryota; Viridiplantae; Streptophyta; Magnoliopsida; Malpighiales; Euphorbiaceae. The record is from RNAcentral.